Molecule: ribosomal RNA, 566 nt
Filed under: uncultured bacterium
Lineage: Bacteria
Description: partial 16S ribosomal RNA
Rfam family: Bacterial small subunit ribosomal RNA
Source: RNAcentral
UGGGGAAUCUUCCGCAAUGGACGAAAGUCUGACGGAGCAACGCCGCGUGAGUGAAGAAGGUUUUCGGAUCGUAAAACUCUGUCUUUUGGGGCGAACGUGAGUAUGGUGAACAAUCAUAGUCAGUGACGGUACCAAAGGAGGAAGCCACGGCUAACUACGUGCCAGCAGCCGCGGUAAUACGUAGGUGGCAAGCGUUGUCCGGAAUUAUUGGGCGUAAAGAGCGCGUAGGCGGGAUAGUCAGUCUGUUGUAAAAGUGCGGGGCUCAACCCCGUGAUCGCAAUGGAAACAGCUAUUCUUGAGUGCAGGAGAGGAAAGUGGAAUUCCCAGUGUAGCGGUGAAAUGCGUAGAUAUUGGGAGGAACACCAGUGGCGAAGGCGACUUUCUGGACUGUGUCUGACGCUGAGGCGCGAAAGCCAGGGGAGCGAACGGGAUUAGAUACCCCGGUAGUCCUGGCCGUAAACGAUGGGUACUAGGUGUGGGAGGUAUCGACCCCUUCCGUGCCGGAGUUAACGCAAUAAGUACCCCGCCUGGGGAGUACGGUCGCAAGACUGAAACUCAAAGGAAUU